Molecule: small RNA, 147 nt
Filed under: Macaca fascicularis (crab-eating macaque)
Lineage: Eukaryota; Metazoa; Chordata; Mammalia; Primates; Cercopithecidae
Description: Metazoan signal recognition particle RNA (ENSMFAG00000063664.1)
Source: Rfam by way of RNAcentral
GCCGGGUGUGGUGGCGGGCGCCUGUAGUCCCAGCUACUCGGAGGCUGAGGCAGGAGAAUGGCAUGAACCCAGGAGGCUGAGCUUGCAGUGAGCCGAGAUUGCGCCACUGCACCCCAGCCUGGGCGACACAGCGAGACUCUGUCUCAA